RNAcentral lists this long non-coding RNA (326 nucleotides) under Nicotiana benthamiana. Its description in RNAcentral is "long non-coding RNA (NBEN_LNC002070)". The record is from RNAcentral. Lineage: Eukaryota; Viridiplantae; Streptophyta; Magnoliopsida; Solanales; Solanaceae.
UUUGCUCCAACAACUGUGGAGACAACUCUUUGGAUUGUUUGGAGAUCUCACAUCUUUCUUUCCCUCUUUUACCAUUUUCGUUUUAGCAUGAAGAGCAUCCUUAUGGACCUCACUCUACUUAUAUCAGGAGGCAGCUAUGGUUACAACAAACCCAGUGGAGUCUCACUAGUGGGGUCUUGGGAGUUGGGUGGGUAGUGUGUUACCCCUACCCUUGAGAGGUAGAGGGGCUGUUUCCGAUGGACCUCGGCAGGAGGCAACUGUGGUUGAAGUUGUUAAAUUUAAGACUGAGCACAAAAUAGAAAUUAACCAUGGGAACUGAGCUCGAU